GAACGCACAUUGCGCCUCCUGGUAUUCCGGGAGGCAUGCCUGUUCGAGCGUCAUUAAAUACCACUCAAGCUCUUCUGCUUGGUCAUGGAAGAAGAGUAUGCUUGCAUCCUCUCUUCUGAAAUUGAAUGGCGGACCGCCUCAUGUGCCUCGCGUAGUAAGUUCAUCUUUUCGCUGGCAGCGUGAGACAGUCUCGCCAUCAACCCCCAUACUUCUAAGGUUGACCUCGGAUCAGGUAGGGAUACCCGCUGAACUUAAG
Molecule: unclassified non-coding RNA, 256 nt
Filed under: Wilcoxina rehmii
Lineage: Eukaryota; Fungi; Ascomycota; Pezizomycetes; Pezizales; Pyronemataceae
Description: sequence contains 5.8S rRNA gene
Rfam family: 5.8S ribosomal RNA (bases 1-53)
Source: RNAcentral